UAAAUAUAAUCAUACACUAUAUAAUUUUUUAUGUAAUAUGUAAUUUUUUAUGUCAACCUUUGUAUUCAUUCAUUCUUUUGCAUAUCAUUUUCCGUUUAUCCCAGCACCAUUUGUUGAAGAGACUUCCCUCAUUGAAUGGUCUUGUCACCCUUGUCAAAAAUAAACUUCCCAAGGAUGAGUCUGUACCUCAGUGGUAGAGUGUUUGCCUAGCACAAGUGGCCAUGGAUUCAGUGCCCAGUACUGGAAAAAUAAUGACCAUUAACAUUAUCCUGUAGUUUUCAGUGUCUUUGAGUCUUGAACCUCUUUUAUUAAUUUACCUUGCGCUUGUGAGGCAGGAGGCAGAACCACUGAGGUAAAUCCCUUGCCCUGGAAUGUUUUUAAAUUUUUUUCACAAUGUAGGCAAAUGGCCAUAAAAUGGAACAAAAUAAAAUGAGGUAUGUCUGUGCUGGAUUUUAUAUUUAUUUGUGUAGUUACCUUUAUUUCUUCACAUGGCGUUGAUUUACUGUUUAGCGUCUUUUCAUUUUAACCUGAAGGACUCUAUUUAGUACUUCUUAUAGGGCAGGUUUGCUAGUGAUGAGGACCUCAACUUUUGAUUAUCUGGGAAUGUCUGAAUUUAUGCUUCAUUUUUGAAGAAUUGUUUUGCAACACAUAGAAUUCUUACUUGACAGAUUUUUUUCUUUUAUGACUUUAAAUAUGUCUUUCUAUUGCCCUAGUCUCCUUGACUGCUGAUGAGAAAUUAGCUUGUAUGUGACAAUCACUUUUCUCUUACUGCUUUCAACCAAGCCACAACUGUGUUCCUUUCCAACAAUUCAUCUGAUUCACUAUCCUCUCAGUGCAACUGGAAAAUUAUGAUGUGCUCAUCUUUCAAUCCCCCUACAGAUUAUUAUCAUCCUUGAAUGAGGAAAGAAAUGUAAAAGUGACAUACCUGAAGUCAUACUGUGAGCUAGGUCUGCUACUCAUAUGUCUGAUGGUUUAUUUCAUUAUAACACUGUGUAAAUGGUAAUUCUCUUGUUUAUAUAUUUUAUUUGUUGUCUGUGCUUUCACUGAAUGUAGACUCCAAAAGAACAGGAAUUUUUUUAUUGAUUAUAUAUAUAUAUAUAUAUUUCCUAUGUCUAGCUUUUAUCAUAGGUAUUUGUUGAAUGAAUGAAUGAUUAUAAAUUUGAUUCAAAUGAAAGAUCAGUGGGGAAAGUAGUUAAUUCAGAAUGUCCCCUGAAGGGAGCUUCUAUUUAAGAGCAUUGAGACCUCUCUAUCUUUAAGCAUCUUUUUACCAUCCUAGUGGUUUAGAUUAAGAACUCUUACAGAUAUUUUGGUCCAGGCUCUCAUCUUACAGAGAGAGAGAAUUUAGCCUCAAAGAUGGGUGAGACACCUAGGAAGGCUGUCAUGAAGCUUAAUUGGGAUUCAGAUGUACUACCCAGCAGUUGAAGGUAUUAUAGAACAUUGUCAUUGUGGAAUAUUAAGUUCUCUAAUGUCAUUUAGGAUGUAAAACUGUGAGAUUAGAGAAGCCAGAUUAUGGCACUGUUAGAGGCAAGAAUGAUAACACAGUUUUCUAUUUCCAUUGUUUUUACUGAAAAAAUUUUCUGCCUGUUUAUAAAAGUUGUUCACGAGGAGAAUUUGUCUCUUUUCCUCUUGCUGUUUUAAGCAUUUUUAUGGUUCUUUGGUUUAUAACAGCUUCACUGUGUUAUGCCGUGAAGGUUAAUUUUGAUUGCUAAUUUGAUUGGCUUGAGAGAUGUGUAGAAGAUUAGUAAAGCACACUUCUUCAGGUGUCUGAGUGAGUCACGGGCACAUGACCUUGGGGAUUAUACCUGGCCCCUGAUUCCCACUUGGCUUUUCUGUGCUCUCUGCUUCCUGGCUGCCAUGAGGUCAGCGGCUUUCUUCUGCUCUGUGCCUCCACUAUGAUAUUUCUGCUUUGGAGGCAGCUGAUCAUGGACUGAAACCUCUGAAACCAUGAAUCAAAAUAACGCUUUUCUCCUUUGUGUAUGUCAGGAGUUUUAUUCUAGAAUGGAAAGAUGAUUAAUACAUAUGCCUAUUUAUCUUGAUUUGAAUUUGUAAGUUUACUUGAAUAUAUAGUGUUUUUAGUUAGAAUUUUAAAAUUCUUACCCACUAGCUCUUCAAAUAUUGAUCUUCCCAAUUUUUUCUGUCUACUGCUGUUGAGCUCUGUAUUAGACCUUCUUUCUCCAUUCUAUAUAGCUCUUAUAUUCUCUUCAAUAUUUG
Long non-coding RNA from Heterocephalus glaber (naked mole-rat), 2211 nucleotides. NCBI's taxonomy places the organism in Eukaryota, Metazoa, Chordata, Mammalia, Rodentia, Bathyergidae. The record is from Ensembl.